Long non-coding RNA from Hipposideros armiger (great roundleaf bat), 895 nucleotides. RefSeq lists it as uncharacterized. NCBI's taxonomy places the organism in Eukaryota, Metazoa, Chordata, Mammalia, Chiroptera, Hipposideridae. The record is from RefSeq and is a predicted model, not a curated record. The transcript is spliced from 3 exons.
GACAGGUGUUCAAACAAAAACGUGAACACACAUGCUCACAGCAGCACAAUAACCAAAAGGAGGAAGCAACCCCAGUGGUCGUCAGCGGGUGCACGAAUGAACAGAACGUGGUAUCUCCACACAGUGGACUGCUACUCAGCCAUAAAAAGGAGUGAAGUACAGACACAGGCGACACACGGAUGGACCUCAAAAAUGUGGUUAAGUGAAGGCAGCCAGACACGAAAGGACCACCCCUGAUGCCGUUUAUCUGAACCGCCAGUGAAGAUAAAUCCACAGAGACAAAAGGAACCAGAGGUUCAGAGAGGCCCAGCCACCUGCUGAGUAGCUCAGAGAGGGAAGGGGGGGCAGCGGGAUCUGGGACCCACACUUCCUGCCCCCGGACUGCCAGAGAGAAGCGGUGUCAUUGCCAGCCCAGAACCACGUGACAGAACAGCCUGUCAGACCCAGGGGAAGCCUCCCGCCAUCUGCUCUGUCCAUGGGGCCUGAAAUCGACGGCCACAGACGUGGCCGGCGGUGCAUCGGUGAGGCCGCAGGAGCCGGGCACCUCCACCUCAGCGUCUCGCUUUUCCCAUGAAUUCCCCAACAGCUGGCCCCACAAACCACAGCCCAGGAGAGGCGCCCCAGUACGGGGGCAAACGGUCCCACCAUGGCAGGGACCCCCACCCACCUGGCCCCAGCUGCCCCUCUGAGUCCUUUCCCUGGACUGAGCACCCAUUCUAAGGUAACCCAUCCCCCACCAUCAGGUUUCUGCAUUGUGCAGCCCCAGCCCCAAACCAACCCCAGGAUCCUGGCAACGUUCCCCAGGCCAGGGCCAGGGCAGCACUCCAGGGGAGAGACCUGCCCCCUGCCCCGCCCUCGCUCGCUCUCCACAGGUGGCACUACCACUCUUACCACU